CGCGUAGGUGGCUAGAACAGUCGGGUGUGAAAGCCCUGGGCUUAACCCAGGAAUUGCAUUCGAUACUGCUUAGCUAGAGUGCAGUAGAGGGAAGCGGAAUUCCGGGUGUAGCGGUGAAAUGCGUAGAUAUCCGGAGGAACACCAGUGGCGAAGGCGGCUUCCUGGACUGACACUGACACUGAGGCGCGAAAGCGUGGGGAGCAAACAGGAUUAGAUACCCUGGUAGUCC
This 229-nucleotide ribosomal RNA is filed under the name uncultured bacterium. RNAcentral describes it as "partial 16S ribosomal RNA". It matches the Rfam family "Bacterial small subunit ribosomal RNA", at positions 568 to 796 of the family's 1533-position model. The record is from RNAcentral.